RNAcentral lists this ribosomal RNA (301 nucleotides) under uncultured bacterium. RNAcentral's name for it is "partial 16S ribosomal RNA". It matches the Rfam family "Bacterial small subunit ribosomal RNA", at positions 509 to 807 of the family's 1533-position model. The record is from RNAcentral.
CAGCAGCCGCGGUAAUACGGAGGGAGCUAGCGUUAUUCGGAAUUACUGGGCGUAAAGCGCACGUAGGCGGCUUUGUAAGUUAGAGGUGAAAGCCUGGAGCUCAACUCCAGAAUUGCCUUUAAGACUGCAUCGCUUGAAUCCAGGAGAGGUGAGUGGGAUUCCGAGUGUAGAGGUGAAAUUCGUAGAUAUUCGGAAGAACACCAGUGGCGAAGGCGGCUCACUGGACUGGUAUUGACGCUGAGGUGCGAAAGCGUGGGGAGCAAACAGGAUUAGAUACCCGAGUAGUCCCUGUCUCUUAUAC